UACGGAGGGUGCGAGCGUUAAUCGGAAUCAUUGGGCGUAAAGCGCGCGUAGGUGGCUUGAUAAGCCGGUUGUGAAAGCCCCUGGCUCAACCUGGGAACGGCAUCCGGAACUGUUAGGCUAGAGUGCAGGAGAGGAAGGUAGAAUUCCCGGUGUAGCGGUGAAAUGCGUAGAGAUCGGGAGGAAUACCAGUGGCGAAGGCGGCCUUCUGGACUGACACUGACACUGAGGUGCGAAAGUGUGGGGAGCAAACAGG
RNAcentral lists this unclassified non-coding RNA (253 nucleotides) under uncultured Halomonadaceae bacterium. RNAcentral's name for it is "contains 16S-23S intergenic spacer region". It matches the Rfam family "Bacterial small subunit ribosomal RNA", at positions 524 to 776 of the family's 1533-position model. Lineage: Bacteria; Pseudomonadati; Pseudomonadota; Gammaproteobacteria; Oceanospirillales; Halomonadaceae. The record is from RNAcentral.